Bacillus sp. FJAT-21945 is the source of this 140-nucleotide non-coding RNA. NCBI's taxonomy places the organism in Bacteria, Bacillati, Bacillota, Bacilli, Caryophanales, Bacillaceae. The record is from Rfam.
GGUACCUUUAAUUCAGUCCAGAGAGGCUGACAAGGACAGCGGAAGUUAACAAUCAUUCAUGGGAUGCGUAUAUAGGCAGCCUGUGUUUAUUGUGAACGAAAGGGGUUUAUUGUCAGAUAUGGCGAUAAACCCUUUUUUGU